This is a non-coding RNA of Podarcis lilfordi (Lilford's wall lizard), 72 nucleotides long. The record is from the annotation of a GenBank genome assembly. Lineage: Eukaryota; Metazoa; Chordata; Lepidosauria; Squamata; Lacertidae.
CAAGAUGGCUCAGUUGGGAGAGCAUGAGACUCUUAAUCUCAGGGUUGUGUGUUCUGAACUUCAGGAGGUUGG